CCAAGUGGAACCCUAAUAGAGGCCACCAAAAAGAAAGGGAAGACUAGGAGAGGGUUUGGGAGAAUCGAGGAGCAGUCGCAAAGACUUCGUCCAGAGUCGAGGGAAGUUGACUUCGUGAAGAAACUUGGCAGAAAUCUGGGAAUUAUCUGAGAACGGUAGGCGAACUUCUGUAGCUCAAAUCUCGUUCUAUGUUGAGGCUAAAAUCACGAAAAAAAAUACCAAGAUGUAGCCCUCAACACGAUCUAGAACUUUGCCGAAGGAACCAUAUCGAUCCGAGCUCUGGGUCAAAAGAUAUGAAAAUUGGAAAACGGUAGAUUGGAAAAGGGCUAUGGAUUGCCGGAGAGAGAGAAAA
This is a long non-coding RNA of Cucurbita moschata (crookneck pumpkin), 352 nucleotides long. RefSeq lists it as uncharacterized. The transcript is spliced from 2 exons. Lineage: Eukaryota; Viridiplantae; Streptophyta; Magnoliopsida; Cucurbitales; Cucurbitaceae. The record is from RefSeq and is a predicted model, not a curated record.